This 83-nucleotide ribosomal RNA is filed under the name uncultured bacterium. RNAcentral's name for it is "partial 16S ribosomal RNA". It matches the Rfam family "Bacterial small subunit ribosomal RNA", at positions 271 to 354 of the family's 1533-position model. The record is from RNAcentral.
AGCCGACGAUGCGUAGGGGUUCUGAGAGGAAGGCCCCCCACAUUGGAACUGAGACACGGCCAAACUCCUACGGAAGGCAGCAG